This 254-nucleotide ribosomal RNA is filed under the name uncultured bacterium. Its description in RNAcentral is "partial 16S ribosomal RNA". It matches the Rfam family "Bacterial small subunit ribosomal RNA", at positions 524 to 776 of the family's 1533-position model. The record is from RNAcentral.
UACGAGGGGAGCAAGCGUUGUUCGGAUUUACUGGGCGUAAAGGGCGCGUAGGCGGUCGUGACAAGUCACUUGUGAAAUCUCCGGGCUUAACUCGGAACGGUCAAGUGAUACUGUCGGACUAGAGUACAGAAGGGGCAACUGGAAUUCUCGGUGUAGCGGUGAAAUGCGUAGAUAUCGAGAGGAACACCUGCGGCGAAGGCGGGUUGCUGGGCUGAUACUGACGCUGAGACGCGAAAGCGCGGGGAGCGAACGGG